AGUGGGGAAUCUUGCGCAAUGGGCGAAAGCCUGACGCAGCCAUGCCGCGUGUAUGAUGAAGGUCUUAGGAUUGUAAAAUACUUUCACCGGUGAAGAUAAUGACUGUAGCCGGAGAAGAAGCCCCGGCUAACUUCGUGCCAGCAGCCGCGGUAAUACGAAGGGGGCUAGCGUUGCUCGGAAUUACUGGGCGUAAAGGGAGCGUAGGCGGACAUUUAAGUCAGAGGUGAAAUCCCGGAGCUUAACUUCGGAACUGCCUUUGAUACUGGAUGUCUUGAGUGUGAGAGAGGUAUGUGGAACUCCGAGUGUAGAGGUGAAAUUCGUAGAUAUUCGGAAGAACACCAGUGGCGAAGGCGACAUACUGGCUCAUUACUGACGCUGAGGCUCGAAAGCGUGGGGAGCAAA
RNAcentral lists this ribosomal RNA (402 nucleotides) under uncultured Brevundimonas sp. RNAcentral describes it as "bacterial SSU rRNA". It matches the Rfam family "Bacterial small subunit ribosomal RNA", at positions 353 to 772 of the family's 1533-position model. Lineage: Bacteria; Pseudomonadati; Pseudomonadota; Alphaproteobacteria; Caulobacterales; Caulobacteraceae. The record is from RNAcentral.